GACGAACGCUGGCGGCGUGCCUAAUACAUGCAAGUCGAACGCAGUGGGGACGGGUGAGUAACACGUGGGUAACCUCCCAUCAGAGGGGAUAACACUUGGAAACAGGUGCUAAACCGAUACUGAUGGAUGGACCCGCGGGGCAUUAGCUAGUUGGUGAGGUAACGGCGCACCAAGGCCACGACGCAUAGCGUACCGGAGAGGGUGAUCGGCAACACUGGGACUGAGACACGGCCCAGCUGCCACCGGGAGGCAGCAGUAGGGAAUCUUCGGCAAUGGACGAAAGUCUGACCGAGCAACGCCGCGUGAGUGAAGAGGGUUUUGGGAUCGUAAAACUCUGUUGUUAGAGAAGCGGUAUCUAACCAGAAAGCCACGGCUAACUACGUGCCAGCCGCCGCGGUAAUU
RNAcentral lists this ribosomal RNA (402 nucleotides) under uncultured bacterium. RNAcentral describes it as "partial 16S ribosomal RNA". It matches the Rfam family "Bacterial small subunit ribosomal RNA", at positions 28 to 525 of the family's 1533-position model. The record is from RNAcentral.